Long non-coding RNA from Musa acuminata AAA Group (dessert banana), 2081 nucleotides. RefSeq lists it as uncharacterized. Lineage: Eukaryota; Viridiplantae; Streptophyta; Magnoliopsida; Zingiberales; Musaceae. The record is from RefSeq and is a predicted model, not a curated record. The transcript is spliced from 2 exons.
AAUUCGACAGAUUCCAUGUCACUGAUGUCGUGUUGGAUUCGUGUCGGGUCGACGGAUCGGGUCGACGACCCCACCCCUUAAAUUGGCGGAGACAAGUCGAGUCCUUCGUCGGCGUUACGGCCGCGUCUCUCUUUGGCUCGCACGUAACCCAUCGUUCUCUCGUCGCCGUCUCGCCAUGCUGCGGCCGGUCGAUGCCACCACGGCCACCCUGCAACCCUUCAGCUCCCACCACCCUCUCCUCCUCCUCCUGCACUCCUGCAAGACUCUGGUCCGGAUCAAGAAGGCCCACGCCAAGCUGAUCACUGCCGUUCUCUUCCUCCAUCCCGUCCACCGAGCAAGCUCCUCGAGCUCCUCCCCUCCGCCCUCUGCCGCCGUCACUGCCCCUCCUCCUCUUCUCUCCUACGCCGACCUCGUCUUUUGCCACUCCCCCUCGCAUCCUCUAUUCUCCUAAAACACCCUCGUCAAAGCCCACUCCUCGCCCGCCUCCUUCCUCCUCUGUCCCCAACCAGUACACCUUCGCCUCCCUCCUCGCCGCGUGCGGGCCCCGCGGGCUGGGCUUGGCCGAGGCGGAGCAGGUCAGGGUUCACGCCCUCAAGGGGGGGCUUGAGACCAAUGUGUUCGUUUCCAACGCGGUGGUCCGGGUGUACGGUAGCUUUGGGUCGGUCCACGACGCGCAGAUGGUGUUUGACGGAAGCGCCCGACGGGACAUGUUCUCGUGGGUUUCGUUGAUCGGUGGAUACGUCGGAUGUGGAGAUGUCGACCGUGCGAGGAAGUUGUUUGAUGAAAUGCCGGAGAAAGGAUGUUGUCUCUUGGAGUACUAUUGUUGCGGGAUAUGUGCAGGUAAGAAACUGGGUGUUUUGGUGCGAUCAGCAAGAGUCGUGCUGGAGAAACCUCUUAAUGUUGAUGUUAGGGUUGUCUUCUAUGUGACCACCUGAAUGCUGCCUUCCUUAAACUUCCCAGCCAAUUGUAGGUAGGUUGCUUCUUAGAGGCAAUGAGUUUACUCUCACCACUGUUCUUGCGGCAUGUGCUAAUCUUGUUGCACAAGAACAAGGAAGAUGGAUUCACAUGUUCAUGAAGAAAGAGAGUGUCGAGAUGAACGACAGACUGCUUGCCGGUCUCAUUGACGUGUAUGCAAAGUGUGGGGAGAUAGAAUCCGCCAGGAAUGUAUUCAAUGCUGAAGGCAGUCCCAAAUGCACCGCCCGGCCUUGGAAUGCCAUGCUUAGUGGCUUUGCUAUUCAUGGAAAAUCCGAUGAUGCAGUUAAGCUCUUUGAAAGGAUGAAGGCACUAAACAUCCCUCCAGAUAAAGUGACAUUUGUGUCUUUGCUCAAUGCCUGUAGCAUGAAAGAUUGGUGGAUCAUCAGCGAAUUGGAGCCAAGAAGUUGGAGAGGUGCUGCUUGACAUACAUGAGGAGGACAAGGAGACUGCUUUGUCUAUACAUGGUGAGAAAUUAGCCAUUGCCUUUGGAUUGAUGAACACAGGACAGGAUAAGGUUUCAUCACUUCAAAGAUGGAAUUUGUUCUUGCAAGGAUUACUGGUAGAGAUUCUAUAGUCGACUUCAAACUACUGUUCCCUGACUCGAUAUGAUCUAAAGGGUAUUUGAUGACCACAUAGAAGUCAUUGAGACGUCUACAUUUGCUUCAAGGGAUGGUAAUGCCGGCUUUGGAAUCAACAAAUGUGGAGUUCUCCACUGAAGUGCUCACUCGGAUCUCUCAGGUGAUCAGAUCAAAAAGAUGGGACUAGUUUGAGGAGAUGAGUUCAACGACUUUGCCAAAGGUCAAGGAUGAUGUAUCUGCUCAGCUUAGCUCGACAAAGUUUAGAUCAAAUUUGUGGCUCAAAGAUAUGGUUCUCGCUGGGAUUCAACUCAACUUAUUUUGGUAGCAGUUAAGAGGGUUGGAACUCCUCAGAUUGCUUGAUGUGAGAAUUACACUUGCAGAUGUUUGUUCUAUUGCACAAACGUUAAAUAAUCAGCUUAUUCUCCAAUCAAAUUGGUUUGUUUAUUUUUUGCCUCAAAUUGAGGAGGUGAGGCUGUGAAAUUUGGAUACUCUCCAAUUUUCUAGUAAUCCAUUUGAUUACCAAAUCUA